GAUGAACGCUGGCGGCGUGCCUAACACAUGCAAGUCGAACGGAGAUUUAACGCUGAUGAGACUUCGGUCAAUUCUUGUUAAAUCUUAGUGGCGGACGGGUGAGUAACGCGUGGGCAACCUGCCUCGUACUGGGGGAUAACAGUUGGAAACGACUGUUAAUACCGCAUAAGCGCACGGUGUCGCAUGACACAGUGUGAAAAACUCCGGUGGUACGAGAUGGGCCCGCGUCAGAUUAGCCAGUUGGUGGGGUAACGGCCUACCAAAGCAACGAUCUGUAGCCGGACUGAGAGGUCGGACGGCCACAUUGGGACUGAGACACGGCCCAAACUCCUACGGGAGGCAGCAGUGGGGGAUAUUGCACAAUGGGCGAAAGCCUGAUGCAGCGACGCCGCGUGAGUGAAGAAGUAUUUCGGUAUGUAAAGCUCUAUCAGCAGGGAAGAAAGA
RNAcentral lists this ribosomal RNA (444 nucleotides) under bacterium AC2005. RNAcentral's name for it is "bacterial SSU rRNA". It matches the Rfam family "Bacterial small subunit ribosomal RNA", at positions 28 to 452 of the family's 1533-position model. The record is from RNAcentral.